CAGUAAUAACAUUUUACUGUAAAUAUUUAAUAAAAGUAUUGCCAAUUUGAAUAUAUAAUUAUGUAUGCAUUUUACAAAAACUACACUAAUUAUAAAAUAAUUUAUUUGUCUACAAUAUAAAACAAAUGGAAUUGUCUGACAUGUAUAAUAACGUAAUCACAGAAAAGAAAAUUAUUGCUAAAAAUAGUACAAGUUACUUAAUAAAUGUCAUGCCAAUCAGAACACAACAUCUAAUGAUCUAUUGUCACAGAACAUGUUCAUUUAUGGCACAUGGAUACUCUGUAGUCUGUAUUGUAUGAAAAUGAAUAUGAACCUUAAAUCAUCUUGGGAAAAUCGAUUCAGUACCCGUCAUACCUUAUUCCUUAUUCAAAAUAUCGGGGUUUGGAUGGUUUAAAAGAAGGUGACUUACAGAUCACCAAAACGACGUGCACUUGUUAUAAUUAUUACUGUCAAUCUGUUAACUAUAAAAUAUGAUUUCCCUCUGUUCAGAUAUGUGUGACAUAAAAUUCUAAAGUUAUUAAACAUAUUGAAACAUAAAAAGUAUUGGCAAAUAUGAGAUAUGUGUUAACGGGUCUGGCACGCGCACAACAUCCACACAGUCAUGCGGCUGACCAAUUAUGAUGCAAUUAUGUUGAGUAGUAUGAAUUUGUAGUUGAUGAAAAAAUUGUUGGAAGAAGGACACACGGAUAAGUGUAUUGUAGAAAAGUAUGAUCUGUUAGAAUUAAAGCACAAAUCGUAAGCAGUUAAAAAAUUAUAUCUGUAGAGAAUGAAAAAUGUCAUUUGACGUCGAUAAACUUCUGAAUAAAAUCUUGACAAAAAUAUUACGCAAUUUCAUUAAUAAUGGUCUUCCGCACGAAUUGAUCCUUUAAUAAACAAACGAUCGUGUAAGAACAGUAUCCAUAUUUCUAAGAUGUUUGGAGAGCAAUUAAUGCAAAGAACUAGUACUAGUCCUUAAAUGACAUGUUGUCUUAUACAAAAGUUUACAAUGAGCACAUACAUGUAUCAUAGAAAAUAACUACAUCAAUUAAAAAUAUGUACACUUUUAAGCAUACUUAUUUGUCACCGUAUUACAAAUCAUGUACUUGCAUUGAUUUCAUCAUGACUUCAAGCUUUAAAUUGCAUUCAUACACUUUGAUGGGAAAUAUAGCAGUUAUGUCAUUUUGUAACAAGUGGUUUAAAUUUUGUAAAUAACUUUGAUUAGAAAGUGAUCUUCUCGGGCUUUAAUAAAACAAUUUGAACACUUAUGUUUACUUGCAAAUAGUCAGAGAUUUCUUUCAAAUAUAUAUGACAAUAAAGGUUAAGUUUAAUGGGACUGAAAGAACACCAUCAGCAUCAUUUCUCUUUAUGAAAGCUGCAAAUAUUGCAGGUUAGUUGUUGAUGUCCAAUAUUCUUUAUAUCUAUGUUAAAUAUCUUAAAAAGAAGUGUCUGCAUUUUCUGAUUUGACAUGACUUGCAUCAUCCUAAUUUAUAUUAUGUCAAAUCAAAAUAAAAACUUUAUCAAAACAAAAUAAAUAAAUGUUUAAUGUUGGUUUUACUUUUAGGUUUUAAAUAUUGUUCACUCUUAUACACUUUAAUAUUCUGAAUAGUUUUUCCCCUUAGUGCACUAAAAUUGUCUAAAUAGUCUUCAGUCUUUGUACAUACAUCCGUUUAACUCCUUGUCUUCACGUGUGCAUGUUUACGUGAUUAUAAAACGUUACAUGUUUUGUCUAUUGUUGAUGUUUUAAAGAAAAAAUCUGAGAUCGAAUAUGCAAACAAAUGUCAUUCUAAAAGUUCGAAAUUCACAUAGAAAAAACAUAUAUUAAUGUUUUCAUAUAGAAUGUUCUUAAGCUACUUACAUGUAAGUACCAGAAAUGAGAUACAUCAAAUUCAACACAAUGUGGCAACGAUACCAUUCGUAAAAAACAACCGUAAAAUUGAUGUA
Molecule: long non-coding RNA, 1920 nt
Filed under: Mytilus galloprovincialis (Mediterranean mussel)
Lineage: Eukaryota; Metazoa; Mollusca; Bivalvia; Mytilida; Mytilidae
Source: RNAcentral